RNAcentral lists this transfer RNA (60 nucleotides) under Livia junci. RNAcentral's name for it is "tRNA-Arg". Lineage: Eukaryota; Metazoa; Arthropoda; Insecta; Hemiptera; Liviidae. The record is from RNAcentral.
AAUAUGAAGUAAUAAAUACAACUAGUUUCGACCUAGAAUUAGAGUCUUCUCCUUAUUUUA